ACGAACGCUGGCGGCGUGCUUCACACCUGCCAGUCGCACGAUGAAGCCUAGCUUGCUAGGUGGAUUAGUGGCGAACGGGUGAGUAAUACGUGAGUAACCUACCUUUAACUCUGGGAUAAGCCCGGGAAACUGGGUCUAAUACCGGAUACGACCAAUCUCCGCAUGGGGUGUUGGUGGAAAGCGUUAUGUAGUGGUUAUAGAUGGGCUCACGGCCUAUCAGCUUGUUGGUGAGGUAACGGCUCACCAAGGCGACGACGGGUAGCCGGCCUGAGAGGGUGACCGGCCACACUGGGACUGAGACACGGCCCAGACUCCUACGGGAGGCAGCAGUGGGGAAUAUUGCACAAUGGGCGCAAGCCUGAUGCAGCGACGCCGCGUGAGGGAUGACGGCCUUCGGGUUGUAAACCUCUGUUAGCAGGGAAGAAGAGAGAUUGACGGUACCUGCAGAGAAAGCGCCGGCUAACUACGUG
RNAcentral lists this ribosomal RNA (470 nucleotides) under uncultured bacterium. Its description in RNAcentral is "partial 16S ribosomal RNA". It matches the Rfam family "Bacterial small subunit ribosomal RNA", at positions 29 to 507 of the family's 1533-position model. The record is from RNAcentral.